RNAcentral lists this unclassified non-coding RNA (119 nucleotides) under Anaerobium acetethylicum. RNAcentral describes it as "Clostridiales-1 RNA". The record is from RNAcentral. Lineage: Bacteria; Bacillati; Bacillota; Clostridia; Lachnospirales; Lachnospiraceae.
UGAUACCAGGGUCAAAAGGUCAUGUUUUUCAUGCUUGCAUGAAAAAGCAUGACUUUGGGACCCGCAUCAUUAAUAAUUGUAUUACAAUAAAUAUAAUUAUGCAAAAAAUACAUGCAUCA